GACGAACGCUGGCGGCGUGCCUAAUACAUGCAAGUUGAGCGCUGAAGGUUGGUACUUGUACCGACUGGAUGAGCAGCGAACGGGUGAGUAACGCGUGGGGAAUCUGCCUUUGAGCGGGGGACAACAUUUGGAAACGAAUGCUAAUACCGCAUAAAAACUUUAAACACAAGUUUUAAGUUUGAAAGAUGCAAUUGCAUCACUCAAAGAUGAUCCCGCGUUGUAUUAGCUAGUUGGUGAGGUAAAGGCUCACCAAGGCGAUGAUACAUAGCCGACCUGAGAGGGUGAUCGGCCACAUUGGGACUGAGACACGGCCCAAACUCCUACGGGAGACAGCAGUAGGGAAUCUUCGGCAAUGGACGAAAGUCUGACCGAGCAACGCCGCGUGAGUGAAGAAGGUUUUCGGAUCGUAAAACUCUGUUGGUAGAGAAGAACGUUGGUGAGAGUGGAAAGCUCAUCAAGUGACGGUAACUACCCAGAAAGGGACGGCUAACUACGUG
This 497-nucleotide ribosomal RNA is filed under the name uncultured bacterium. RNAcentral describes it as "partial 16S ribosomal RNA". It matches the Rfam family "Bacterial small subunit ribosomal RNA", at positions 28 to 507 of the family's 1533-position model. The record is from RNAcentral.